AUACGUAGGUGACAAGCGUUAUCCGGAUUUACUGGGCGUAAAGGGCGUGUAGGCGGUCUUGCAAGUCAGAAGUGAAAUUCCUGAGCUCAACUCGGGCGCUGCUUCUGAAACUGCAGGACUUGAGUGCUGGAGGGGAUAGCGGAAUUCCUAGUGGAGCGGUAAAAUGCGCAGAGAUUAGGAAGAACACCGGUGGCGAAGGCGGCUAUCUGGACAGUAACUGACGCUGAGGCGCGAAAGCGUGGAGAGAAAACAGGAUUAGAUACCCGGGUAGUCCACGCCGUAAACGAUGAAUACUAGGUGUAGGGGGUAUCGACUCCCUCUGUGCCGCAGUUAACACAAUAAGUAUUCCGCCUGGGGAGUACGGCCGCAAGGUUGAAACUCAAAUGAAUUGACGGGG
RNAcentral lists this ribosomal RNA (397 nucleotides) under uncultured bacterium. Its description in RNAcentral is "partial 16S ribosomal RNA". It matches the Rfam family "Bacterial small subunit ribosomal RNA", at positions 523 to 918 of the family's 1533-position model. The record is from RNAcentral.